RNAcentral lists this ribosomal RNA (388 nucleotides) under uncultured Anaerolineaceae bacterium. Its description in RNAcentral is "bacterial SSU rRNA". It matches the Rfam family "Bacterial small subunit ribosomal RNA", at positions 987 to 1382 of the family's 1533-position model. The record is from RNAcentral. Lineage: Bacteria; Bacillati; Chloroflexota; Anaerolineae; Anaerolineales; Anaerolineaceae.
UGCAAGUGGUACGGAAUCCCGAAAGGUGACGGACCUUCGGGAGCUUGCACAGGUGCUGCAUGGCUGUCGUCAGCUCGUGUCGUGAGAUGUUCGGUUAAGUCCGCUAACGAGCGCAACCCUCGCUGUGUGUUACAAGUGUCACACGGGAACUGCCGGUCAUAAACCGGAGGAAGGUGGGGAUGACGUCAAGUCAGCAUGGCCUUUAUAUCCUGGGCUACACACACGCUACAAUGGGAAGGGGACAAUAAGGUUGCGAAGCCGCGAGGCGGAGCCAAUCCAAGCAAAACUUCCCUCAGUUCAGAUUGCAGGCUGCAACUCGCCUGCAUGAAGUUGGAGUUGCUAGUAAACGCAGGUCAGCCAUACUGCGUUGAAUACGUUCCCGGGGCUU